GACGAACCGUGCGAACGUUGUUCGGAUUCACUGGGCUUAAAGGGCGCGUAGGCGGACGGUCAAGUCAGGGGUGAAAUCUUUCAGCUCAACUGGAAAAGUGCCUUUGAUACUGAUCGUCUCGAGGGAGGUAGGGGCAUGUGGAACUUCCGGUGGAGCGGUGAAAUGCGUAGAUAUCGGAAGGAACGCCGGUGGCGAAAGCGAACGUGCUGGACCUCUUCUGACGCUGAGGCGCGAAAGCUAGGGGAGCAAACGGG
Molecule: ribosomal RNA, 254 nt
Filed under: uncultured bacterium
Lineage: Bacteria
Description: partial 16S ribosomal RNA
Rfam family: Bacterial small subunit ribosomal RNA
Source: RNAcentral